Molecule: ribosomal RNA, 413 nt
Filed under: uncultured Glomeraceae
Lineage: Eukaryota; Fungi; Glomeromycota; Glomeromycetes; Glomerales; Glomeraceae
Description: partial 28S ribosomal RNA
Source: RNAcentral
GAGAGUUAAACAGUACGUGAAAUUGUUGAAAGGGAAACGAUUGAAGCCAGUCUUACCUGCGGACAAUCAGCUUUUUGAGUGUGAUUAUGUGGAUUGUGAGGAGUUUAAUCACCCUCAUGUUUUGCAUAUUCGUGCUCUUGGGUGUACUUGCCCGUGUGGUAGGUUAACAUCAAUUUCGGACGUCAUAAAAUGAUUGGAGGAAUGUAGCUUUGAUCUCGUAUCGAAGUGUUAUAGGCUCUGGUAGAUGUGACGAUUGGGAUUGAGGAUUGCAACGGAUACCCCUCGGGGCUACCCGUCUGAUCUCUGAAGGUUGCUCCGGUGCCGAAAGCGUGCUUACGGUCAUCGAAAGUGAUUUUCAAAAGGUUAGAGCGGGUUAAAUUCGUUAAGGAUGUUGACGUAAUGGCUUUAAACGA